Molecule: ribosomal RNA, 474 nt
Filed under: uncultured bacterium
Lineage: Bacteria
Description: bacterial SSU rRNA
Rfam family: Bacterial small subunit ribosomal RNA
Source: RNAcentral
GGCUUAACACAUGCAAGUCGAGGGGCAGCAUGACACGGAGAUUCGUCGAAGUGUUGAUGGCGACCGGCGCAAGGGUGCGUAACGCGUGAGCACUUGCCCGUUCAGGGGAUAACCGGUGGAAACGCCGACUAAUACCCCAUGGCAUCAUUGGGAGGCAUCUCCUUAUGAUUAAAGAAUUUCGGAAACGGAUAGGCUCGCGUGACAUUAGCUAGAUGGCGGGGUAACGGCCCACCAUGGCGACGAUGUCUAGGGGUUCUGAGAGGAAGAUCCCCCACACUGGAACUGAGACACGGUCCAGACUCCUACGGGAGGCAGCAGUGAGGAAUAUUGGUCAAUGGGCGCGAGCCUGAACCAGCCAAGUAGCGUGCAGGAUGACGGCCCUAUGGGUUGUAAACUGCUUUUUAUGCGGGAAUAAGAUCAGAUACGUGUAUCUGCGUGCAUGUACCGCAUGAAUAAGGACCGGCUAAUUCCGUG